RNAcentral lists this ribosomal RNA (468 nucleotides) under uncultured bacterium. Its description in RNAcentral is "partial 16S ribosomal RNA". It matches the Rfam family "Bacterial small subunit ribosomal RNA", at positions 28 to 507 of the family's 1533-position model. The record is from RNAcentral.
GACGAACGCUGGCGGCGUGCUUAACACAUGCAAGUCGAACGGAAAGGCCCUGCUUUUGUGGGGUGCUCGAGUGGCGAACGGGUGAGUAACACGUGAGUAACCUGCCCUAGACUUUGGGAUAACUUCAGGAAACUGGGGCUAAUACCGGAUAGGAGCUCCUGCUGCAUGGUGGGGGUUGGAACGUUUCGGCGGUUGGGGAUGGACUCGCGGCUUAUCAGCUUGUUGGUGGGGUAGUGGCUUACCAAGGCUUUGACGGGUAGCCGGCCUGAGAGGGGGACCGGCCACAUGGGGACUGAGAUACGGCCCAGACUCCUACGGGAGACAGCAGUGGGGAAUAUUGCACAAUGGGCGGAAGCCUGAUGCAGCAACGCCGCGUGCGGGAUGACGGCCUUCGGGUUGUAAACCGCUUUCGCCUGUGACGAAGCGUGAGUGACGGUAAUGGGUAAAGAAGCACCGGCUAACUACGUG